This 388-nucleotide ribosomal RNA is filed under the name uncultured bacterium. RNAcentral describes it as "bacterial SSU rRNA". It matches the Rfam family "Bacterial small subunit ribosomal RNA", at positions 28 to 417 of the family's 1533-position model. The record is from RNAcentral.
GACGAACGCUGGCGGCGUGCUUAACACAUGCAAGUCGAGCGGUAAGGCCCUUUCGGGGGUACACGAGCGGCGAACGGGUGAGUAACACGUGGGUGACCUGCCCUCAGCUCUGGGAUAAGCCCGGGAAACUGGGUCUAAUACUGGAUAUGACUCCAUGACGCAUGUUGUGGGGUGGAAAGCCUUGUGCGGCUGAGGAUGGGCCCGCGGCCUAUCAGCUUGUUGGUGGGGGAUGGCCUACCAAGGCGACGACGGGUAGCCGGCCUGAGAGGGCGGACCGGCCACACUGGGACUGAGACACGGCCCAGACUCCUACGGGAGGCAGCAGUGGGGAAUCUUGCGCAAUGGGCGAAAGCCUGACGCAGCGACGCCGCGUGAGGGAUGACGGCCU